RNAcentral lists this unclassified non-coding RNA (399 nucleotides) under fungal sp. RNAcentral's name for it is "partial internal transcribed spacer region". The stretch from base 1 to 46 matches the Rfam family "Eukaryotic small subunit ribosomal RNA", at positions 1786 to 1831 of the family's 1831-position model. The record is from RNAcentral. Lineage: Eukaryota; Fungi.
AAGUCGUAACAAGGUUUCCGUAGGUGAACCUGCGGAAGGAUCAUUAACACUAAACCCAGUUGAGACCGUACUGUUCGCUUCGCGUUCGGUUGCGUGUCUCUUCUACUAUCCACCCGUGGUCGUGUUCCGUACCUUGGCCCUUGUGGUCGAGGUUGAUCCACUCGGUCGCUGAGUGCUGGUGGCGUGCAGUACCUCGGUACUGUUGCGAAUACAGCCCAGUGAUAAGAGGUCUUAUCGGGGCCUCAAGUCGUAUAGGCUGAGUGGCCUAUUUUUCACCUUUUACUGCAAACUAUACCUGCACUGAAUCCAUAUGCACGCGAAAGCGUGUGUAUGCUUUAUUGGCCUUCACUGCGCCGAUAAAACCAAAUACAACUCGUAGCAAUGGAUAUCUCGGCAAAC